Molecule: ribosomal RNA, 163 nt
Filed under: uncultured bacterium
Lineage: Bacteria
Description: partial 16S rRNA
Rfam family: Bacterial small subunit ribosomal RNA
Source: RNAcentral
UAGGGAAUCUUCCACAAUGGACGAAAGUCCGAUGGAGCAACGCCGCGUGAGUGAAGAAGGGUUUCGGCUCGUAAAACUCUGUUGUUAAAGAAGAACAUAUCUGAGAGUAACUGUUCAGGUAUUGACGGUAUUUAACCAGAAAGCCACGGCUAACUACGUGCAG